GGAGUAUUCAAGAUGACCGCUCUUUUUUACGAAGAGAGGAAAGUCCGGGCUCCAAAGGGCAGGACGCUGGGUAACCCCCAGUUGGUGCGAACCAAAGGAAAGUGCCACAGAAAAAAACCGCCUGAUUUUCAGGUAAGGGUGAAAAGGUGGGGUAAGAGCCCACCGGGUGAAGAGUAAUUUUCACGCCAGGCAAACCCCGUCCGGAGCAAGGCCGAAUAGGGGGGGAUGAGGCUGCCCGCCGACCCCCGGGUACGGCCGCACGAAAUCCGCCGCGAGGCGGAUUCAAGAGAAAUGGUCAUCCAUCGACAGAACCCGGCUUAUUGAAUGCUCCCGUA
Molecule: RNase P RNA, 335 nt
Filed under: Synergistaceae bacterium
Lineage: Bacteria; Thermotogati; Synergistota; Synergistia; Synergistales; Synergistaceae
Description: RNase P RNA component class A
Rfam family: Bacterial RNase P class A
About the family: Ribonuclease P (RNase P) is a ubiquitous endoribonuclease, found in archaea, bacteria and eukarya as well as chloroplasts and mitochondria.
Source: RNAcentral